This 497-nucleotide ribosomal RNA is filed under the name uncultured bacterium. RNAcentral describes it as "partial 16S ribosomal RNA". It matches the Rfam family "Bacterial small subunit ribosomal RNA", at positions 28 to 507 of the family's 1533-position model. The record is from RNAcentral.
GAUGAACGCUGGCGGCGUGCCUAAUACAUGCAAGUCGAGCGAACGGACGAGAAGCUUGCUUCUCUGAUGUUAGCGGCGGACGGGUGAGUAACACGUGGAUAACCUACCUAUAAGACUGGGAUAACUUCGGGAAACCGGAGCUAAUACCGGAUGAUAUUUUGAACCGAAUGGUUCAAAAGUGAAAGACGGUCUUGCUGUCACUUAUAGAUGUAUCCGCGCUGCAUUAGCUAGUUGGUAAGGUAACGGCUUACCAAGGCAACGAUGCAUAGCCGACCUGAGAGGGUGAUCGGCCACACUGGAACUGAGACACGGUCAAGACUCCUACGGGAGGCAGCAGUAGGGAAUCUUCCGCAAUGGGCGAAAGCCUGACGGAGCAACGCCGCGUGAGUGAUGAAGGUCUUCGGAUCGUAAAACUCUGUUAUUAGGGAAGAACAUAUGUGUAAGUAACUGUGCACAUCUUGACGGUACCUAAUCAGAAAGCCACGGCUAACUACGUG